RNAcentral lists this ribosomal RNA (272 nucleotides) under uncultured bacterium. RNAcentral's name for it is "partial 16S ribosomal RNA". It matches the Rfam family "Bacterial small subunit ribosomal RNA", at positions 82 to 354 of the family's 1533-position model. The record is from RNAcentral.
UCUAUGUCGGCGACCGGCGCACGGGUGCGUAACGCGUAUGCAACCUACCCAUUACAGGGGGAUAACACUGAGAAAUCGGUACUAAUACCCCAUAACAUCCAGGGAGGCAUCUUCUUGGGUUGAAAACUCCGGUGGUAAUGGAUGGGCAUGCGUUGUAUUAGUUAGUUGGUGGGGUAACGGCUCACCAAGACAACGAUACAUAGGGGGACUGAGAGGUUAACCCCCCCACAUUGGUACUGAGACACGGACCAAACUCCUACGGGAGGCAGCAG